GUGCUCACUUCAGCAGCACAUGUACUGAAACUGGAAUGAUACAGAGGAGAUUAGCAUGGCCCCUGUGCAGGGAUGACACACACACACACAAAAAUGAAUAAAUAAAU
Small nuclear RNA from Myotis daubentonii (Daubenton's bat), 107 nucleotides. Lineage: Eukaryota; Metazoa; Chordata; Mammalia; Chiroptera; Vespertilionidae. The record is from RefSeq and is a predicted model, not a curated record.